RNAcentral lists this small RNA (431 nucleotides) under Pan troglodytes (chimpanzee). Its description in RNAcentral is "processed transcript". Lineage: Eukaryota; Metazoa; Chordata; Mammalia; Primates; Hominidae. The record is from RNAcentral.
CCUGAGCUCCUCCCCUGGGGUCUCUUCUGGGCAGUGGCUGCCCUGUCUUCUGACCUCCUCUCUUCUGGCCACCAAACCAAUGGCGGCUCAGCGGCAGCGGGCGCUGGCCAUCAUGUGCCGCGUCUACGUGGGCUCUAUCUACUAUGAGCUGGGGGAGGACACCAUCCGCCAGGCCUUUGCCCCCUUUGGCCCCAUCAAGAGCAUCGACAUGUCCUGGGACUCCGUCACCAUGAAGCACAAGGGCUUUGCCUUCGUGGAGUAUGAGGUCCCCGAAGCUGCACAGCUGGCCUUGGAGCAGAUGAACUCGGUGAUGCUGGGGGGCAGGAACAUCAAGGUGGGCAGACCCAGCAACAUAGGGCAGGCCCAGCCCAUCAUAGACCAGUUGGCUGAGGAGGCACGGGCCUUCAACCGCAUCUACGUGGCCUCUGUGC